This 223-nucleotide long non-coding RNA is filed under the name Phoenix dactylifera (date palm). RNAcentral's name for it is "long non-coding RNA (PDAC_LNC015752)". Lineage: Eukaryota; Viridiplantae; Streptophyta; Magnoliopsida; Arecales; Arecaceae. The record is from RNAcentral.
UAUCUUAUUUAAUGGUUUGCUUGAUGAAUUAAUAACCUUUUUCUCUAGAGAUUUAUUGUUAAGUAAAGGAGUCAAGCCAAGUUUUGAUUUAUCACAAGCAACAUAUUGGCUUUCAAACAUCAUUUUUAAUCGUUCUGAACUUACGGUGAAUUUGUUAAUAAAAGAUUUUAAUUGAUUAAUUUCUUUACUUAAGUUUUGAUUUUCUUUAAUUAAGCUAUGAUUU